GUUGUCUACAGGUUCUCACGUUGUUGUCUGCAGGUUCUCACGUUGUUGUCUACAGGUUCUCACGUUGUUGUCUACAGGUUCUCACGUUGUUGUCUACAGGUUCUCACGUUGUCUACAGGUUCUCAUGUUGUUGUCUGCAGGUUCUCACGUUGUUGUCUACAGGUUCUCACGUUGUUGUCUACAGGUUCUCACGUUGUCUACAGGUUCUCACGUUGUUGUCUACAGGUUCUCACGUUGUUGUCUACAGGUUCUCACGUUGUCUACAGGUUCUCACGUUGUUGUCUACAGGUUCUCACGUUGUUGUCUACAGGUUCUCACGUUGUUGUCCACAGGUUCUCACGUUUUUGUCUACAGGUUCUCACGUUGUUGUCUGCAGGUUCUCACGUUGUUGUCUACAGGUUCUCACGUUGUUGUCUGCAGGUUCUCACGUUGUUGUCUACAGGUUCUCACGUUGUUGUGUGUUCUUAUUACUUCUGAGUGUUUUCGUCUGUUUUUUCUUUUGUCUUUCGCCGAACGCAAAGAAACAGAACUUUUCCGAAAUUCUAGCAUUUCCACUAAAACCCAAAAAUUCAAAAGACAACAGGUUGAUGGGAAAUACAGAUUGAGUCGCGUCGGCUUUCGGGGUUUGGGUUGUCGCGUGGGAGCUGUGUUGCAGAUCACGUUAUCUGUGACUUGUUUACUGCUGCUGCUCUGCUUCCUGUCUCCAUCCGCCUCUAAUGUCAUCAUCACCAUCACCAUCAUCAUCAUCAACAUCAUCAUCACCAUCAUCAUCACCAUCAUCACCAUCACCAUCAUCAUCAUCAUCAUCAUCAGGCAGGAAACAGACGAACAUGAGGAAUAUGACCUGUGUGUUUCUGCCUGAUGACAUUAAACAAUUAACGUCCUGAAAUGCUCCGCGACGUUUACAACUCGGAUGUCGCCUCCUGGUCCAGAAAGUGAAUCCAAUGAAGUGUGUGAAGUCUGUAUUCUGUGUACUGACCAGCAGAGGGCGACUCUAUCUGAACGUGACUCUACUUCUCGGUUGAUUCAUAACGUCAGUAAAACAUUUUCCUGAGGAGUUUAUGGUUCAAUCUGU
RNAcentral lists this long non-coding RNA (1075 nucleotides) under Scophthalmus maximus (turbot). Its description in RNAcentral is "lncRNA (ENSSMAG00000025217.1)". Lineage: Eukaryota; Metazoa; Chordata; Actinopteri; Pleuronectiformes; Scophthalmidae. The record is from RNAcentral.